Molecule: ribosomal RNA, 702 nt
Filed under: uncultured Gammaproteobacteria bacterium
Lineage: Bacteria; Pseudomonadati; Pseudomonadota; Gammaproteobacteria
Description: bacterial SSU rRNA
Rfam family: Bacterial small subunit ribosomal RNA
Source: RNAcentral
CUAACACAUGCAAGUCGAGCGGAAACGAGAAGUGCUUGCACUUCGGCGUCGAGCGGCGGACGGGUGAGUAAUGCUUGGGAAUAUGCCUUGAGGUGGGGGACAACAGUUGGAAACGACUGCUAAUACCGCAUAAUGUCUACGGACCAAAGGAGGGGAUCUUCGGACCUUUCGCCUUUAGAUUAGCCCAAGUGAGAUUAGCUAGUUGGUGGGGUAAUGGCCUACCAAGGCGACGAUCUCUAGCUGGUUUGAGAGGAUGAUCAGCCACACUGGGACUGAGACACGGCCCAGACUCCUACGGGAGGCAGCAGUGGGGAAUAUUGCACAAUGGGGGAAACCCUGAUGCAGCCAUGCCGCGUGUGUGAAGAAGGCCUUCGGGUUGUAAAGCACUUUCAGUCGUGAGGAAAGGUUAGUAGCUAAUAUCUGCUAACUGUGACGUUAGCGACAGAAGAAGCACCGGCUAACUCCGUGCCAGCAGCCGCGGUAAUACGGAGGGUGCGAACGUUAAUCGGAAUUACUGGGCGUAAAGCGUGCGUAGGCGGAUUGUUAAGCGAGAUGUGAAAGCCCAGGGCUCAACCUUGGAACUGCAUUUCGAACUGGCUGUCUAGAGUAUUGUAGAGGGUGGUGAAUUUCCAGUGUAGCGGUGAAAUGCGUAGAGAUUGCAAGGACAUCAGUGGCGAAGGCGGCCACCUGUACAAAUACUGA